This is a non-coding RNA of Myotis lucifugus (little brown bat), 127 nucleotides long. Lineage: Eukaryota; Metazoa; Chordata; Mammalia; Chiroptera; Vespertilionidae. The record is from Rfam.
CGUGCACCGGUGGGGUCCCUCGGCCUGGCCUGCACCCUCUCGCAACCCAGGACCCCUCAGGGGAUGUUGGACUGCUUGUUUCUGCUCAGUCCCUGCAGGCCAGGCUGAGGGACCCCACCGGUGCAUG